This 501-nucleotide ribosomal RNA is filed under the name uncultured bacterium. RNAcentral's name for it is "bacterial SSU rRNA". It matches the Rfam family "Bacterial small subunit ribosomal RNA", at positions 28 to 521 of the family's 1533-position model. The record is from RNAcentral.
GACGAACGCUGGCGGCGUGCCUAACACAUGCAAGUCGAGCGGUAACAGGUGUAGCAAUACAUGCUGACGAGCGGCGGACGGGUGAGUAACGCUUGGGAAUCUGCCUAUUAGUGGGGGACAACCCGGGGAAACGUCGGGCUAAUACCGCAUACGCACUACGGUGGAAAGCCGGGGACCGCAAGGCCUGCGCUAACAGAUGAGCCCAAGUCGGAUUAGCUAGUUGGUAGGGUAACGGCCUACCAAGGCGACGAUCCGUAACUGGUCUGAGAGGACGACCAGUCACACCGGAACUGAGACACGGUCCGGACUCCUACGGGAGGCAGCAGUGGGGAAUAUUGGACAAUGGGCGAAAGCCUGAUCCAGCGACGCCGCGUGGGUGAAGAAGGCCUGCGGGUUGUAAAGCCCUUUCAGUGGGGGAAGAAAAGCCUCGAGCUAACACCUCGGGGUCUUGACGUAACCCAUAGAAGAAGCACCGGCUAACUCUGUGCCAGCCGCCGCGGU